Molecule: small nuclear RNA, 62 nt
Organism: Callithrix jacchus (white-tufted-ear marmoset)
Lineage: Eukaryota; Metazoa; Chordata; Mammalia; Primates; Cebidae
Gene: U7
Rfam family: U7 small nuclear RNA
About the family: Animal histone pre-mRNAs are spliced by a different mechanism than nuclear pre-mRNAs and self-splicing introns. This processing involves the U7 snRNP, which contains only one RNA species: U7.
Source: Ensembl
CAGUGUUACAGCUCUUUCAGAAUUUGUCUAGCAGGCUUCCCAGUUUUUACUCGAAAGUCCAA